UAGAGGAAGUAAAAGUCGUAACAAGGUCUCCGUUGGUGAACCAGCGGAGGGAUCAUUACAGAGUUGCAAAACUCCCACAAACCAUCGCGAAUCUUACCCGUACGGUUGCCUCGGCGCUGGCGGUCCGGAAGGCCCUCGGGCCCCCGGAUCCUCGGGUCUCCCGCUCGCGGGAGGCUGCCCGCCGGAGUGCCGAAACCAAACUCUUGAUAUUUUAUGUUUCUCUGAGUAAACUUUUAAAUAAGUCAAAACUUUCAACAACGGAUCUCUUGGUUCUGGCAUCGAUGAAGAACGCAGCGAAAUGCGAUAAGUAAUGUGAAUUGCAGAAUUCAGUGAAUCAUCGAAUCUUUGAACGCACAUUGCGCUCGCCAGUAUUCUGGCGAGCAUGCCUGUUCGAGCGUCAUUUCAACCAUCAAGCUCUGCUUGCGUUGGGGAUCCGCGUCUGACGCGGUCCCUCAAAAACAGUGGCGGGCUCGCUAGUCACACCGAGCGUAGUAACUCUACAUCGCUAUGGUCGUGCGGCGGGUUCUUGCCGUAAAACCCCCAAUUUCUAAGGUUGACCUCGGAUCAGGUAGGAAUACCCGCUGAACUUAAGCAUAUCAU
This 600-nucleotide ribosomal RNA is filed under the name Sordaria sp. E04. RNAcentral describes it as "eukaryotic LSU rRNA". The stretch from base 247 to 400 matches the Rfam family "5.8S ribosomal RNA". Lineage: Eukaryota; Fungi; Ascomycota; Sordariomycetes; Sordariales; Sordariaceae. The record is from RNAcentral.